Molecule: ribosomal RNA, 253 nt
Filed under: uncultured bacterium
Lineage: Bacteria
Description: partial 16S ribosomal RNA
Rfam family: Bacterial small subunit ribosomal RNA
Source: RNAcentral
UACGAAGGGGGCUAGCGUUGUUCGGAAUUACUGGGCGUAAAGCGCAUGUAGGCGGUUCUUUAAGUCAGGGGUGAAAUCCCGGGGCUCAACCCCGGAAUUGCCUUUGAUACUGGAGAGCUAGAGUUUGGGAGAGGUGAGUGGAAUUCCGAGUGUAGAGGUGAAAUUCGUAGAUAUUCGGAGGAACACCAGUGGCGAAGGCGGCUCACUGGCCCGAAACUGACGCUGAGAUGCGAAAGCGUGGGGAGCAAAUAGG